AUUGAACGCUGGCGGCAGGCCUAACACAUGCAAGUCGAGCGGAUGCACGGAGCUUGCUCCUGCAUUCAGCGGCGGACGGGCGAGUAAUGCCUAGGAAUCUGCCUGUUAGUGGGGGAUAACGUCCGGAAACGGGCGCUAAUACCGCAUACGUCCUGAGGGAGAAAGUGGGGGAUCUUCGGACCUCCCGCUCUCACAUGAGCCUAGGUCGGAUUAGCUAGUUGGCGGGGUAAAGGCCUACCAAGGCGACGAUCCGUAACUGGUCUGAGAGGAUGAUCAGUCACACUGGAACUGAGACACGGUCCAGACUCCUACGGGAGGCAGCAGUGGGGAAUAUUGGACAAUGGGCGAAAGCCUGAUCCAGCCAUGCCGCGUGUGUGAAGAAGGUCUUCGGAUUGUAAAGCACUUUAAGUUGGGAAGAAGAGCAGUAAGUUAAUACCUUGCUGUUUUGACGUUACCAACAGAAUAAGCACCGGCUAACUUCGUG
RNAcentral lists this ribosomal RNA (484 nucleotides) under uncultured bacterium. RNAcentral's name for it is "partial 16S ribosomal RNA". It matches the Rfam family "Bacterial small subunit ribosomal RNA", at positions 30 to 507 of the family's 1533-position model. The record is from RNAcentral.